Molecule: non-coding RNA, 1370 nt
Organism: Cuculus canorus (common cuckoo)
Lineage: Eukaryota; Metazoa; Chordata; Aves; Cuculiformes; Cuculidae
Source: the annotation of a RefSeq genome assembly
AAAGCCUGCGAGAGGGAGCGCUGCUGGGGAAGGGAGCGAUGGGGCGCAUGGGAGCUGCUCUGCCAGGGGCACUGGAUCCCAGGGGACCGAUCUCUGUGGGGAUGGGGAAAACCUUGGAGAGGUGGGGAGAAGGAGUGGAGAGAAAUGCCGGGAGUGUGGCUAAAAAACAGGAGAUGUGAGGUUUGAGGUGUGGCAGGAACCUGCAGAGAGGACAGUGGGGGUAGUGAGGACAGUGAUCAAGGUGAUGGAGAGACAAACGGACAGGCUGACAGGCAACUAAUCUGAAAGCCCUUUCUGGCUUCCCAGGUGGUGCCCAAAAGGACUCUGUGCUCCAGUUCCCAGCAGAGAUGACCAUCCAGGCAGGACACAGCGCAACUCUGCUCUGCAAUUUCUCCACAAGUGAUUUUGCUUCCUACAUCUUUUGAGUCCUUGCUGACAGCUCUGCUCCCUCAGGAGGUACGUGGGGGUUUCUCAGACUCUCUCAGCCCUGCAGGAUGAGUGGUCACAGCAGGCGCCUCACAUAUCUCCUCCUCACUGCCUUCCUGAGGCAGCCACUGGGCACCCUGGGGCAGAUCACCGUCACCCAGCAAGAAGGACCAGUCACAGUGAAGCAGGGAGACACCUUUCGAACAAACUGCUCUUACCAGACCUCCAGCUUUUAUGCCUUCUUCUGGUACCAGCAGAGGAAAGGCCAGGCUCUCCAGCUGGUCUCCUAUCAGGCAGGAACUGGCUCCAAGCGGAACGGCCGUUUCACCACAUCCCUGAACCCCACAGAGAAAUCCAGCCUCCUGCAGCUGGAGGAAGUCGAAGGCUCUGACAGCGCCGUGUACCUCUGUGCUGUGCAGGACACGCUGGUGCAGGAGCUGCCUGGGCUGGGCAAAAACCUGGGGCAGGGAGGGGCUGGGGCUGGCAAGGCUGAGCCUGGAGGAAGGCUUUAUUCUGCGCUGCUUCUGCCCAAAGGCUUUGCAGAGGUGGCUUUUGGUUUCCACCAGGCAGCAGCCAGAGCAAUGGGCAACUUUUCCCUGCUGCUCCAUGCUGGCCAUGGCCCCAGGAUUGAGGGAUGAAGUGGAGUGAAACAUGGAUCAGCAUCUGGGACUCUUCCCAAGGGCUAUUUCCUCUUUUUGACUCCUGCCAUUCUGCAAAGUAAAGCAUCUGCUGGAUUAGCAGGUUCCCAGGGAUAGGAGUCUCACUGCAGCUGAAUGGUGCUGUUCCCAAGAUACUGGAGAUAUGCCCAGGGCAGUAGCACAGACCCGCAGACCCUGUGUCCGGAGCCUACUUUUAAUGCCUCUCCAAAGCUGUGGCUGCGCUGAGCCCUGUGUGCUGGGAGCAGCUUGUGCUGGGGCUUGGGGAUAGAGAGAGGAACAGGCGCC